AGCGAACGCUGGCGGCAGGCUUAACACAUGCAAGUCGAGCGGGCAUCCUCGUGGUGUCAGCGGCAGACGGGUGAGUAACGCGUGGGAACGUGCCCUUCGGUUCGGAAUAACUCAGGGAAACUUGAGCUAAUACCGGAUACGCCCUUUUGGGGAAAGGUUUAUCUGCCGAAGGAUCGGCCCGCGUCUGAUUAGCUGGUUGGUGAGGUUACGGCUCACCAAGGCGACGAUCAGUAGCUGGUCUGAGAGGAUGAUCAGCCACACUGGGACUGAGAAACGGCCCAGACUCCUACGGGAGGCAGCAGUGGGGAAUAUUGGACAAUGGGGGCAACCCUGAUCCAGCCAUGCCGCGUGAGUGAUGACGGCCUUAGGGUUGUAAAGCUCUUUUCUCCGGGACGAUAAUGACGGUACCGGAGGAAUAAGCCCCGGCUAACUUCGUGCCAGCCGCCGCCGUAA
RNAcentral lists this ribosomal RNA (453 nucleotides) under uncultured bacterium. RNAcentral's name for it is "partial 16S ribosomal RNA". It matches the Rfam family "Bacterial small subunit ribosomal RNA", at positions 29 to 523 of the family's 1533-position model. The record is from RNAcentral.